UAAGAUUUUAUUCCGAAUCUACUUUUGUUUUCACUCAAUAUUGCUGUGCUGCACCCACUGUGCAUGGCUGGGCAACUACUUUACAAUCAUCGUCGCUUGGUUUUCGAUUGCUUUUGCAGCUUAUUUCUUGCUGCUUCAUUUAUGUACAUACUUGCUUACAUAUGUGUGAGUGGCUGGGUAAGCGUGUGCCUGUGUUUGCAUUUGGUUUUACUUUUUUUCCGUUGAAAUCGAAAAUGCGUGUAACGAGUGUUAAUCGUCCCGCCUGAAUCACGGACUGCCCCAACUAGCAUCAAACUAACCUCUCAAGCAGGCGUUUGCUUUAGACACUUAUUACCAAUAUUAUUUGCUUGUCGCUGCUGCUGCUACUGCUGCAAACAAAAACUAACUUCUUGUAGUUUUAUUUGUUAAAGGAGCAACAUCAUGGCAGGUUCGUUGACCAGCCGCCAACAAAAGUUAUGCAUUGAGAUAACGAAACAUAAAGGGAUCGUCUCACAUUGGGAUUUUAAAGAAUGAUCUAAUAUUUAUGUAUGUACAUAUGUAUGUAUGUAUGCAUAACCGCAUUUAUUUAUAUGUAUAAGCAUGUUUGUAUGUCUAUUUAUUGCAGUUGCCGUUUUGUCAAGGUCAUUUGUCUCUUUUGGCAAAUUCGCGAGCAAAUUGAAAACAAAAUCCCAAGAAAAAGCUCUUUGCUAAUGGACCGUUGCGCUGCAUUUAAAGGCAGAGGAAAAGACAGAGGCAGACAUAGAGGCAGUGACAGAUGCACUAACGUGGAUUAAAAAUGUGUUCAAAGUACAAGAGAAAAGACAACGGGACAAACAACAAAAGCAGCGCCGCAAUGAAGCAACCCAGACAGAUCCUGCUUACUUCCGUGCAGCCUGUCUAGCUCUCUUUCCAAUCGCGUUAAUCUAUAAGCAACGCAAUGAAAAUGAAAUGGAACAGCGGUAAACUACGUUUGGGUAUAUUAAGCAAAUUAAAUUUUGUACAGACGCACCCAGAAGAGGCACGUGCAGCAACUUAAGGCCAGGUCUUCCAGGGAGGGAGCCUGGCACCUGCCAAAAAAGCAACAAUCAAAUAAAUACCACUACGAAAAACCAAGCGUCGCAUGCAAAUAAAAGAACGCACAACAAAACGUGACGCUAUAACAACAAAAGUAAACAGAGAAACAUAGAGCAAACGAACAAAAAAAAUAAUAAAACAGUUGUCGAAAUAUAUGUAUGUAUGUAUGCACAAGAACAGAGGAAUAUAAAAAUAAAACGGUAACAAGAGCAUCGGCAGAAAUAACACGCUGACUGCUCAAUGCUUUAAAACUCAGCAGCAAAUCUUCGUUUCACAUUCCAAAAUGUUUCACUCUCGCACUGUCAAACAGAGAGCAAUAAAUUAGGUGGGCGGGCGGAGAUGUUUCAAUUCGCAAAAGCAGUACUCACUCUUCGCUGAAAGCUACUGCUGCUGCUGUCGCACAUCGCGGUUCUUCCACUCUGUCUGUGUCCCACAUCUUCGACUGCGCUUCAGCAACGACGACGCGACGUUGGCGCACAUAUGCCGUUAAGCGCAUCAUGCAUGUUAUUCUCUAAUGGCGGCAACGACUAUGGCUACUCUCAACGCAUUAAACAAUUGUCUGCUCCACAUCCCCAAAUACACAUAUGUACAUACCCAAGCAAAUCGUAGCCACCUGCUGGCAUUGCACUGAAGCACAGUGCAACAGCAUGAGUAAAUUGGAGAUAAGCGGACAAAGAGAAGUCAUAGCUGGGAAAUGUGUAAUAUGCAAUGAAUCGCUAAUGGCCCAGAGUCGGAUAAAAUGACAUGCAAAAAGCUCAGGCAAUUAACAUCAACUUCGACAAGACACGCGAUAAAAGCUGAGCGCUCUUUUUUAUUGCUCAAAUGGAGCGUAAAAUUGGCAGAAAAUAAAAAUUACGAAUUGCAACAAUUGAACUUGACUAAAAUGCCAGCAAGAGUUAAAUGCAAAUCGAAAGCUCAUAUGUGUGUGUGUGUGACAGCUUUUCAAUAAGAAUGUGAAAGGGGUGAGGUGAUUGUUACCUUAAAUCGAAUGGAUAAAUUGCAAGAAAUACACGAAAUUAAUUGCACGUAACAAAUACUCUCGCUUUCUCAGUAGUCAACCUGAACACACACACACACACACACACACACACACACAAAUAUGUAUGCAUCGAUUGCGGCGUCCGCAGCGACAACAACAACGAAACAGCUGAGCGUUAGCCUAACAGCGGCACACACACAUAUAAAUAUAUAUUCAUACAUUAGCUUUUACAUGCGCACGGUCACACUGCGCUUUGGGCGUAAGUGCGCAUGUAUUUGUGCUUUUAGCUAAAUUGCAAAGUAUAAACAGACUAAA
RNAcentral lists this small RNA (2347 nucleotides) under Drosophila mojavensis. RNAcentral's name for it is "GI26541". Lineage: Eukaryota; Metazoa; Arthropoda; Insecta; Diptera; Drosophilidae. The record is from RNAcentral.